Molecule: ribosomal RNA, 451 nt
Filed under: Basileucus venturii
Lineage: Eukaryota; Metazoa; Arthropoda; Insecta; Hymenoptera; Ichneumonidae
Description: partial 16S large subunit ribosomal RNA
Source: RNAcentral
GAUAUUUAUUAAAUAGCUGCAGAAUUUUAACUGUACAAAGGUAGCAUAAUCAAUAGUUUUUUAAUUGAAAGCUGGAAUGAAUGAUUUAAUAAGGAAAAUAUUGUCUCAAAAUUAAUGAUAUUAUAAUUUUUUUUUUAGUAAAAAAACUAAAUUGAAUUUAAAAGACGAGAAGACCCUAUAGAUUUUUAUAUUUUUUUUUAAAUAUAUUUAAAUUAUAAAAUAAAGUUUGAUAAAAAAAAUAUUAAGUUGGGGAAAUUAUUAAAUUAAUUAAAUUUUAAUAAGUUUUAAACUAUAAUUAAAGAAUUUAUGAUCUUAAAUUUUUAAAUUAUUAGAAUAAAUUACCUUAGGGAUAACAGCGUAAUUUUUUUGGAGAGAUCUUAUUGAUAAAAAAGUUUGCGACCUCGAUGUUGAAUUAAGAUAAAAUAUUAAUGAAGAAAUUAAUAAUUUUUGG